GCCUAGUACACUCGCUUUCUAGCCGGCGGUGUGCAUCGAAACUCACAGUGCGGGAGUUCUAGGCUCCUGCCUUACUGAUUGCACUCACACUCCCAGCUCCCAAGACUCGAAAGCCUGGGCGAGGAAGCGAAGCGACUAAAGUAGCCAGAAGCUCUGCCCGUUUCCAUUUGGGCCCUUUGCCCAGCGGGUGCAGAAAUGAACCCCGGUCCACUCUGAGGAUCUCCAAGGAGCUCUGGGAAGCUGUAUGACAAGCACCUGAGACUUCUGUUCCCUAGCCAGGUUAAAAGGAGCAGCCCCUUUUGAUAACACCAAUCAGGAUCUUCUCUCUCUCCUGCCACCACCCUCAACUCUGCAGACUCCG
Molecule: long non-coding RNA, 361 nt
Organism: Fukomys damarensis (Damara mole-rat)
Lineage: Eukaryota; Metazoa; Chordata; Mammalia; Rodentia; Bathyergidae
Exons: 3
Source: RefSeq, a predicted model, not a curated record